GUGCUCACUUCAGCAGCACAUAUUCUAAAAUCGGAAUGAUACAGAGAAGAUUAGCAUGGCCCCUAUGCAAGGAUGACAUGUAAAUUCGUGAAGCAUUCCAUAUUUAA
Molecule: small nuclear RNA, 107 nt
Filed under: Marmota marmota marmota (Alpine marmot)
Lineage: Eukaryota; Metazoa; Chordata; Mammalia; Rodentia; Sciuridae
Source: RNAcentral